RNAcentral lists this ribosomal RNA (253 nucleotides) under uncultured bacterium. RNAcentral's name for it is "partial 16S ribosomal RNA". It matches the Rfam family "Bacterial small subunit ribosomal RNA", at positions 524 to 776 of the family's 1533-position model. The record is from RNAcentral.
UACAGAGGUGGCAAGCGUUGUUCGGAAUUACUGGGCGUAAAGGGCGCGUAGGCGGUCUUGUAAGUCCUGUGUGAAAUCCCUCGGCUCAACUGAGGAACUGCACGGGAAACUGCUUGGCUUGAGUUCGGGAGAGGGAAGCGGAAUUCCGGGUGUAGCGGUGAAAUGCGUAGAUAUCGGGAGGAACACCCGUAGCGAAGGCGGCACUCUGGGCCGGAACUGACGCUGAGGAGCGAAAGCGUGGGGAGCAAACAGG